UCUGCCCCACGGGGAAGGAUGAGAAGCUUCGACUAAGGUUCGACUCGAGCGAAGCGAGAGAACGUUGCCGCAGGCAACGGCCCGAAGGGCGAGGAGCGAUAGCGACGAGUUAUCCUUCCCCCACCACCA
This 129-nucleotide small RNA is filed under the name Klebsiella pneumoniae. Its description in RNAcentral is "RtT sRNA". It matches the Rfam family "RtT RNA". Rfam says of the family: This family represents a bacterial cis-regulatory element known as RtT RNA. The exact function of RtT is unknown although it is thought that it may be involved in changing the cellular response in relation to amino acid starvation. Lineage: Bacteria; Pseudomonadati; Pseudomonadota; Gammaproteobacteria; Enterobacterales; Enterobacteriaceae. RNAcentral also lists the same sequence under 1 other name. The record is from RNAcentral.